GCCCCGCAAGGUCGGUAUACAGGUGGUGCAUGGUUGUCGUCAGCUCGUGUCGUGAGAUGGUGGGUUAAGUCCCGCAACGAGCGCAACCCUCGUUCUAUGUUGCCAGCACGUGAUGGUGGGGACUCAUAGGAGACUGCCGGGGUCAACUCGGAGGAAGGUGGGGAUGACGUCAAAUCAUCAUGCCCCUUACGUCUUGGGCUUCACGCAUGCUACAAUGGCCGGUACAGAGGGCUGCGAAACCGUGAGGUGGAGCGAAUCCCUUAAAGCUGGUCUCAGUUCGGAUUGGGGUCUGCAACUCGACCCCAUGUAGUCGGAGUCGCUAGUAAUCGCA
Molecule: ribosomal RNA, 331 nt
Filed under: uncultured bacterium
Lineage: Bacteria
Description: bacterial SSU rRNA
Rfam family: Bacterial small subunit ribosomal RNA
Source: RNAcentral